GGGGAAUAUUGCACAAUGGGCGCAAGCCUGAUGCAGCAACGCCGCGUGAGGGACGACAGCCUUCGGGUUGUAAACCUCUUUUGGCAGGGAAGAAGCGAAAGUGACGGUACCUGCAGAAAAAGCACCGGCUAACUACGUGCCAGCAGCCGCGGUGAUACGUAGGGUGCAAGCGUUGUCCGGAAUUAUUGGGCGUAAAGAGCUCGUAGGCGGUUUGUCGCGUCUGCUGUGAAAACCCGAGGCUCAACCUCGGGCCUGCAGUGGGUACGGGCAAACUAGAGUGCGGUAGGGGAGAUUGGAAUUCCUGGUGUAGCGGUGGAAUGCUCAGAUAUCAGGAGGAGCACCUAUGGCGAAGGCAGAUCUCUGGGCCGUAACUGACGCUGAGGAGCGAAAGCAUGGG
This 397-nucleotide ribosomal RNA is filed under the name uncultured bacterium. RNAcentral's name for it is "bacterial SSU rRNA". It matches the Rfam family "Bacterial small subunit ribosomal RNA", at positions 356 to 765 of the family's 1533-position model. The record is from RNAcentral.